RNAcentral lists this ribosomal RNA (254 nucleotides) under uncultured bacterium. RNAcentral's name for it is "partial 16S ribosomal RNA". It matches the Rfam family "Bacterial small subunit ribosomal RNA", at positions 526 to 779 of the family's 1533-position model. The record is from RNAcentral.
CGUAGGGUGCAAGCGUUAAUCGGAAUUACUGGGCGUAAAAGCGUGCGCAGGCGGUUUUGUAAGUCUGACGUGAAAUCCCCGGGCUCAACCUGGGAAUUGCGUUGGAGACUGCAAGGCUAGAAUCUGGCAGAGGGGGGUAGAAUUCCACGUGUAGCAGUGAAAUGCGUAGAGAUGUGGAGGAACACCGAUGGCGAAGGCAGCCCCCUGGGUCAAGAUUGACGCUCAUGCACGAAAGCGUGGGAGCAAACAGGAUU